Molecule: small RNA, 434 nt
Filed under: Oryza sativa Japonica Group (Japanese rice)
Lineage: Eukaryota; Viridiplantae; Streptophyta; Magnoliopsida; Poales; Poaceae
Description: sRNA RH1
Source: RNAcentral
CCGCCAUUCCACCUCUCGCUUCGCUUCUUCUCCUCUCUCUCUCUCUAUCUUCACCUCGCAUCGUUGGAGAUAUGGAGGGAGUUGACGUGAAGGCGCCGCGGCCAGGCUGCGGCGGCGACGACGACGACGAGCAGGAGGGAGGCGAGGUCGUCGAAGGGAAGGAGGAACACCGACCGGGCCGCCGCGUCGAGGCCCACGGGCCCACUGACCAGUGAACAUUAGCUAGCUAGCUGAUCUCGUUGGAAUUGGUCCUUCGGAAACAGAAGGCAUUUUCGUUGGACUUUUCUGAUUGAUGUCCUAGUUUGAAAUGUUCACAUGUAUGAUAGCACUAGUAGUAUCACGCAAUCCAUGUGCCAGUCUUGAUUUGCAAAUUGCAAUGUACUUAUCAAAAUUGGUGAUCAUGGACUAUCCCAGCUGUGCAUGGGUAAACCAUU